This is a non-coding RNA of Jackrogersella minutella, 87 nucleotides long. The record is from the annotation of a GenBank genome assembly. NCBI's taxonomy places the organism in Eukaryota, Fungi, Ascomycota, Sordariomycetes, Xylariales, Hypoxylaceae.
UCUCGAUUGGUCUAGUGGUCAGGAUACCUGCUUGUCAUUCGAACCUUAUGUUCGCAGGUGGCCGGGGUUCGAUUCCCCGAUCGAGAG